Molecule: ribosomal RNA, 429 nt
Filed under: Pseudomonadota bacterium
Lineage: Bacteria; Pseudomonadati; Pseudomonadota
Description: Proteobacteria bacterium partial 16S ribosomal RNA
Rfam family: Bacterial small subunit ribosomal RNA
Source: RNAcentral
UGGGGAAUAUUGGACAAUGGGCGAAAGCCUGAUCCAGCCAUGCCGCGUGUGUGAAGAAGGUCUUCGGAUUGUAAAGCACUUUAAGUUGGGAGGAAGGGCAGUAAGCGAAUACCUUGCUGUUUUGAUGUUACCGACAGAAUAAGCACCGGCUAACUCUGUGCCAGCAGCCGCGGUAAUACAGAGGGUGCAAGCGUUAAUCGGAAUUACUGGGCGUAAAGCGCGCGUAGGUGGUUCGUUAAGUCGAAUGUGAAAGCCCCGGGCUCAACCUCGGGACUGCGUCCUAGACUGGCGUGCGAGAGUAAGGCAGAGGGUGGUGGAAUUUCCUGUGUAGCGGUGAAAUGCGUAGAUAUAGGAAGGAACACCAGUGGCGAAGGCUACCACCUGCGCUCAUACUGACACUAAGGUGCGAUAGCGUAGGGAGCAAACAGG